This 207-nucleotide long non-coding RNA is filed under the name Ananas comosus (pineapple). RNAcentral's name for it is "long non-coding RNA (ACOM_LNC044830)". The record is from RNAcentral. Lineage: Eukaryota; Viridiplantae; Streptophyta; Magnoliopsida; Poales; Bromeliaceae.
UGAUGUAUUAAAGAUAUAAAUGUUGUAAUAAUUUAGAUUGCAUUUGGAUGAAAAAGGAAUGGUAGUUGAGGCGUAAAAUGCAUGAAUAUGAAUGAAUGUAAUAUAUAGGAUGUGUUAUGUUGUUUGAUACCUUCUAUUAUGCAAUCUUGAUUGAAAUGUGUUCCUGGUUGGAACUUCGUAUAUUGUAUUGAUUGCUAUGCCUUGAAC